This 218-nucleotide long non-coding RNA is filed under the name Ananas comosus (pineapple). Its description in RNAcentral is "long non-coding RNA (ACOM_LNC005474)". The record is from RNAcentral. Lineage: Eukaryota; Viridiplantae; Streptophyta; Magnoliopsida; Poales; Bromeliaceae.
AGCGAAGUUUGAAAAGCAUUUGAGUGUUUUCGGCGCAAACUGGAUGGUAAAACGAAUUCGAAAAGGUAAAAUCUGUCAAAGUGGCAGAUUUUGUAUUGAGUACCGAUACUAGAAUCUGGUUACCGGUACGCAAUACAAAGUAAGGAAAAUGAGUUUUCGGGUUUUGAGAAAUCAAAUCUGAGUAUCGGUACUGUCAUGCCCCGCGACCGAUCCCUUUG